RNAcentral lists this ribosomal RNA (825 nucleotides) under Eulepethus nanhaiensis. RNAcentral's name for it is "12S ribosomal RNA". Lineage: Eukaryota; Metazoa; Annelida; Polychaeta; Phyllodocida; Eulepethidae. The record is from RNAcentral.
AAAAGUUUGAUUCUCGCUACAAAUUUCACUACUUCAUAGUUAAUACACAUGCAAGACCUUCUAUCCAGUGAGGAAAAUUAAUAUUUAAAACCUGUCUAAAAUCUAAAUCCACUUACUAAGAUCAAUAACUCUCACGCCUGCAGUGUAGAAUCCUUUAUCCAAUUAUAAAAUUAAGUCAAGGCUAUUGAAACCAGGGUUGGCUAAAUUUGUGCCAGCUGCCGCGGUUAAACAAAAAACCCCAGUGAAUUUUAGUCGGUCCAAUGAAAUUUUUAAACUAAAGAUAAAAAACAAACCCAAGAAGUCCAAUUCACCUCUAUAACUAUCCCAACUCUAUCCUAUUCCAAAUUUCAUGAAAGCUCAAAUCAAAACAAGGAUUAGAUACCCUUCUAUUCUCAGCCAUAAAUCAAUAAACCCGGGCACUACCAACGCAUGUUUAAAACCCAGAGAAUUUGGCAGUACUUCAACCCCCCAGGGGAAUCUGUACUUUAAAUCGAUACUCCGCGAACACCUAACUUUUUCUUGAUCACCUACAGCCUGUGUAUUGCCGUCGCAAGCUUACCUUAAAAGAGUAUAGUAAGCAAUCAAAUCAAACCACUCCUACGUCAGGUCAAAAUGCAGCUUAUGAAAAAGAAGAUAUGGAUUACAACAUAAACUCUACUUACUGAAUUUAUUUAUGAAAUUAAAUAAUAAAAAUGGACUUGGAAGUAAGAAAAUCUACCUAAAUUUACUGAAUUAGGAAACCUGAAGUGUGCACACAUCGCCCGUCACUCUCGCCGAAAGGUGAGAUAAGUCGUAACACAGUAGGUGUAAUGGAAAUUGCUCCUA